UGCGUAGGCGGUCUGGUCAGUCGGAUGUGAAAGCCCUGGGCUCAACCUGGGAAUUGCAUUCGAUACUGCCAAACUAGAAUGUUAGAGAGGGAAGUGGAAUUUCCGGUGUAGCGGUGAAAUGCGUAGAGAUCGGAAGGAACACCAGUGGCGAAGGCGGCUUCCUGGCUAAACAUUGACGCUGAGGUGCGAAAGCGUGGGUAGCGAACA
Molecule: ribosomal RNA, 207 nt
Filed under: uncultured bacterium
Lineage: Bacteria
Description: partial 16S ribosomal RNA
Rfam family: Bacterial small subunit ribosomal RNA
Source: RNAcentral